This 671-nucleotide ribosomal RNA is filed under the name Staphylococcus epidermidis NIHLM031. RNAcentral describes it as "bacterial SSU rRNA". It matches the Rfam family "Bacterial small subunit ribosomal RNA", at positions 1 to 655 of the family's 1533-position model. Lineage: Bacteria; Bacillati; Bacillota; Bacilli; Caryophanales; Staphylococcaceae. The record is from RNAcentral.
UUUUAUGGAGAGUUUGAUCCUGGCUCAGGAUGAACGCUGGCGGCGUGCCUAAUACAUGCAAGUCGAGCGAACAGACGAGGAGCUUGCUCCUCUGACGUUAGCGGCGGACGGGUGAGUAACACGUGGAUAACCUACCUAUACGACUGGGAUAACUUCGGGAAACCGGAGCUAAUACCGGAUAAUAUAUUGAACCGCAUGGUUCAAUAGUGAAAGACGGUUUUGCUGUCACUUAUAGAUGGAUCCGCGCCGCAUUAGCUAGUUGGUAAGGUAACGGCUUACCAAGGCAACGAUGCGUAGCCGACCUGAGAGGGUGAUCGGCCACACUGGAACUGAGACACGGUCCAGACUCCUACGGGAGGCAGCAGUAGGGAAUCUUCCGCAAUGGGCGAAAGCCUGACGGAGCAACGCCGCGUGAGUGAUGAAGGUCUUCGGAUCGUAAAACUCUGUUAUUAGGGAAGAACAAAUGUGUAAGUAACUAUGCACGUCUUGACGGUACCUAAUCAGAAAGCCACGGCUAACUACGUGCCAGCAGCCGCGGUAAUACGUAGGUGGCAAGCGUUAUCCGGAAUUAUUGGGCGUAAAGCGCGCGUAGGCGGUUUUUAAGUCUGAUGUGAAAGCCCACGGCUCAACCGUGGAGGGUCAUUGGAAACUGGAAACUUGAGUGCAGAAGA